Molecule: ribosomal RNA, 429 nt
Filed under: Bacteroidota bacterium
Lineage: Bacteria; Pseudomonadati; Bacteroidota
Description: Bacteroidetes bacterium partial 16S ribosomal RNA
Rfam family: Bacterial small subunit ribosomal RNA
Source: RNAcentral
UAGGGAAUCUUCGGCAAUGGGGGGAACCCUAACCGAGCAACGCCGCGUGAGUGAAGAAGGUUUUCGGAUCGUAAAGCUCUGUUGUUAAGGAAGAACGAGUGUGAGAAUGGAAAGUUCAUACUGUGACGGUACUUAACCAGAAAGGGACGGCUAACUACGUGCCAGCAGCCGCGGUAAUACGUAGGUCCCGAGCGUUGUCCGGAUUUAUUGGGCGUAAAGCGAGCGCAGGCGGUUAGAUAAGUCUGAAGUUAAAGGCAGUGGCUCAACCAUUGUAGGCUUUGGAAACUGUUUAACUUGAGUGCAGAAGGGGAGAGUGGAAUUCCAUGUGUAGCGGUGAAAUGCGUAGAUAUAUGGAGGAACACCGGUGGCGAAAGCGGCUCUCUGGUCUGUAACUGACGCUGAGGCUCGAAAGCGUGGGGAGCGAACAGG